Molecule: ribosomal RNA, 502 nt
Filed under: uncultured bacterium
Lineage: Bacteria
Description: partial 16S ribosomal RNA
Rfam family: Bacterial small subunit ribosomal RNA
Source: RNAcentral
AUUGAACGCUGGCGGAAUGCUUUACACAUGCAAGUCGAACGGCAGCACGGGUGCUUGCACCUGGUGGCGAGUGGCGAACGGGUGAGUAAUACAUCGGAACGUACCCAGUCGUGGGGGAUAACGUAGCGAAAGUUACGCUAAUCCCGCAUACGUCCUGAGGGAGAAAGCGGGGGACCGUAAGGCCUCGCGCGAUGGGAGCGGCCGAUGGCGGAUUAGCUAGUUGGGGGGGUAAAGGCCUACCAAGGCGACGAUCCGUAGCGGGUCUGAGAGGACGGCCCGCCACACUGGAACUGAGACACGGUCCAGACUCCUACGGGAGGCAGCAGUGGGGAAUUUUGGACAAUGGGCGAAAGCCUGAUCCAGCCAUUCCGCGUGAGUGAAGAAGGCCUUCGGGUUGUAAAGCUCUUUCGGCAGGGAAGAAACGGCUUGGGAUAAUACCCCGGGCUAAUGACGGUACCUGAAGAAGAAGCACCGGCUAACUACGUGCCAGCCGCCGCCGUAA